AGUGAACGCUGGCGGUAGGCCUAACACAUGCAAGUCGAACGGCAGCACAGUAAGAGCUUGCUCUUACGGGUGGCGAGUGGCGGACGGGUGAGGAAUACAUCGGAAUCUACUUUUUCGUGGGGAUAACGUAGGGAAACUUACGCUAAUAACGCAUACGACCUACGGGUGAAAGCAGGGGAUCUUCGGACCUUGCGCGGUUGGAUGAGCCGAUGUCGGAUUAGCUAGUUGGCGGGGUAAAGGCCCACCAAGGCGACGAUCCGUAGCUGGUCUGAGAGGAUGAUCAGCCACACUGGAACUGAGACACGGUCCAGACUCCUACGGGAGGCAGCAGUGGGGAAUAUUGGACAAUGGGCGCAAGCCUGAUCCAGCCAUACCGCGUGGGUGAAGAAGGCCUUCGGGUUGUAAAGCCCUUUUGUUGGGAAAGAAAAGCAGCAGGUUAAUACCCCGCUGUUCUGACGGUACCCAAAGAAUAAGCACCGGCUAACUUCGUG
This 491-nucleotide ribosomal RNA is filed under the name uncultured bacterium. RNAcentral's name for it is "partial 16S ribosomal RNA". It matches the Rfam family "Bacterial small subunit ribosomal RNA", at positions 29 to 507 of the family's 1533-position model. The record is from RNAcentral.